GCCAGGUGUGGUGGCUCACACCUGUAAUCCCAGCACUUUGGGAGGCUGAGGCAGGUGGAUCCCCUGAGGUCAGGAGUUUGAGACCAGCCUGACCAACAUGGGGAAACCCUGUCUCUA
RNAcentral lists this signal recognition particle RNA (117 nucleotides) under Nomascus leucogenys (northern white-cheeked gibbon). Its description in RNAcentral is "Metazoan signal recognition particle RNA". It matches the Rfam family "Metazoan signal recognition particle RNA". Rfam says of the family: The signal recognition particle (SRP) is a universally conserved ribonucleoprotein. It is involved in the co-translational targeting of proteins to membranes. The record is from Rfam by way of RNAcentral. Lineage: Eukaryota; Metazoa; Chordata; Mammalia; Primates; Hylobatidae.